UGGGCAAAGAUGGAGAUGGAAGGACAGAACCUUUAUUUAUCACCUGCAAUCACAACAAAGUUGGUCUUGGAUCGAAGAGAAUGGACGUUCCUAAUGUCGAAUUAGAUUCCAAUAUGGAGAAGAAACAGGCAGUUUGGCGAAAAGCACAAAAACGUUAUAAAGAAAUAUUCGAUUAAUUUUUUAACAAAUGAAUUAAUUUACAGCAAUAAACUAGUUCAAUAAAACUGUCUAGUCGCAUAAUAUGAAAGAGAUCAAAUUUAGUUUUCAAAUUUAUUAAUUAAAAUUAAAAAA
Molecule: long non-coding RNA, 291 nt
Organism: Atta colombica
Lineage: Eukaryota; Metazoa; Arthropoda; Insecta; Hymenoptera; Formicidae
Exons: 2
Source: RefSeq, a predicted model, not a curated record